This is a long non-coding RNA of Hemicordylus capensis (graceful crag lizard), 2134 nucleotides long. RefSeq lists it as uncharacterized. The record is from RefSeq and is a predicted model, not a curated record. NCBI's taxonomy places the organism in Eukaryota, Metazoa, Chordata, Lepidosauria, Squamata, Cordylidae. The transcript has 2 exons.
CAGGGACUGAAACUGGUAGACCCGGCACUGCACUGUUUUGAAAGGCACAGCUGCUGAAAACGUUAUCCUUUGCAGAUACGAUCUUGCCUGCUUUCAUUUUCCCCAGACCCCGCCAGUUUCCAUGCAAUGAGCUAGCAUGUCUGCAACAGGAAAAGCCAAUUUGGUUGCCAAAGAUAGCAAACGGGGAUUUCUCUCACCCCAUUUCUAUUGGCUUCCUAGACUUUUCAUAGCUAAUGGACAGCAGCAAGUAUAGCACAUCUGUGGUUGAAGUGAAUAAGCAGUUAACUUUGGAGCUCUAGGGUCACACACUUAAUCUGGUCUUUCACUCUGAUCAGGGUGGUGUUCCAUGGGUGAUCCUGUUGAUGCCCUGGUGGAGAAUAGGAACAGCAAGCUCACAAGGAACAGCAAGGGCAGUAGACAAGCGUCCUAUCCGACCCGCUUCAAAAUUGGCCCCUUGGUAUAUGGAAGAACUACGGGGGCUGAAGCAGUGAGGUAGACGACUGGAGCGCAAGUGGAAGAAGACUCGACUCGAAUCUGACAGAUUACAAGAUAGAGCACAUUUGAAGAUCUAUGCUCUGGCAAUAUGGGCGUCAAAGAAGAAAUUCUUUUCGACCCAUAUUGCAUCCGCAAGUUCACGUCCGGCAGAGUUGUCCAGGGUUGUGAGAGGGCUAGUGAGUGCCCCUCCUCCCUUGAAUCAGAAUUUGGAACCAUCUAUUAUCCGCUGUAAUGUGCCUUUUAUCAGCUUCCGCUGAUACACCAGCUGCGUCCAUUUCUUGAGAUAAAUGACCUCAGAACAGUAGUACAUCUGCUGGUCACCUCCAGACUUGACUACUGCAAUGCACUCUAUGUGGGGCUGCCUUUGUAUGUAGUCCGGAAACUACAGUUAGUCCAGAAUGCGGCAGCCAAGUUGGUCUCUGGGUCAUCUCGGAGAGACCAUAUUACUCCUAUCUUAUAAAGCCCUAAACAGCUUGGGCCCUGUGUAUUUACAAGAACGUCUUCUUUGCUAUGAACCAUACCGCCCAUUGAGAUCAUCUGGAGAGGUUCGUCUGCAGUUGCCACUGGCUCGUCUGGUGGCUUUCAGGUGGGCUAUAGGGUUAGACUGCCUUGGUCGGCCUGAUGGAUGAUCUCCAAUUGCCUAUAUCAGCUUCAGCUGAUAUACCAGAUGCGUCCAUUCUUGGAGAUUAGUGACCUUAAAGCAGUAGUACAUAUGCUGGUAACCUCUAGGCUUAACUACUGUAAUGCACUCUACGUGGGGCUGCCUUUGUAUGUAGUUCGGACACUACAAUUGGUACAAAAUGCAGCAGCCAGACUGGUCUCUGGGUUUACCCGAAGGGACCAUAUAACACCAAUUCUAAAAGAACUGCACUGACUGCCGAUAGGUUUCCAAAUGAAAUACGAAGUGCUAGUUAUUACCUAUAAGGCCCUUAACGGCCUAGGUCCUGGGUAUUUUUAAGAGAGUGCUUUCUCUGUUGUGAACCCUGUCACCUAUUAAGAUCAUCUGAAGAGGUCCGACUACGGGUGCCGCAAAUUCGUUUGGUGGCAACUCGGAACCGGGCCUUUUCUGUGGCUGCCCCAGGGCUUUGGAACGCGCUCCCUGCUGAAAUAAGAGCAUCUCCUUCUCUGUUUGCUUUUAGGAGGACCCUGAAGACAUACCUGUUUUCCCAGGCCUUCAACUGAGAAUGCAUUUUAAAAUUUUAUCUAUGUGUUUUUAUUUAUAAUUUUUAUCUUUUAAUGAAUUUUAAAUGUGUUAUAUUGCAUGUUUUAAUUCUGUAAACCACCUAGAGAUUUUUAUAUUAGGCGGUAUAUAAAUUCAAUAAACAAACAAACCAUACUCAGGGACGGGCCUUCUCCACUGCUGCCACAAGGCUCUGGAACACGCUCCCUGCUGAAAUAAGAGCCUCCUCAUCUCUUACAACUUUUAAAAGGGCAGUCAAGACACAUUUGUUCACCCAGGCUUUUAAUUAGAUAUUGUUUUAAUUGUGUUUUAAUAGUUUUAAUUUAUUAAAUUUUAAUUGUUGAAAUAUGUUAAUCUUUUUAUUGGUUGUUUCUACAGUCUUGUAAACUGUCCAGAGAACUUGCGUUUUAGGCGGUAUAAAAAUAUCCUAAAUAAAUGAAUAAAUAAAUUUACCUUAAA